RNAcentral lists this ribosomal RNA (1181 nucleotides) under Bacteroidetes bacterium ADurb.BinA104. RNAcentral describes it as "bacterial LSU rRNA". It matches the Rfam family "Bacterial large subunit ribosomal RNA", at positions 1314 to 2508 of the family's 2925-position model. The record is from RNAcentral. Lineage: Bacteria; Pseudomonadati; Bacteroidota.
AAUGCAGGUGAAAAACCUGCACACCGUAAGACUAAGGUUUCCUGAUCAAUGCUAAUCAGAUCAGGGUUAGUCGGGGCCUAAGGAUAAUCCGAAAGGAAAUGCCGAUGGACAACUGGUUAAUAUUCCAGUACUGGUUAUUGUAGUGAUGGAACUACGAAGAAGUGAAAGGUCUGCGCACUGACGGAUAUGUGCGUUAAAGCCCGUAGAUAUAAAUUAUACAGGAAAAUCCGUAUAGUUUGUCGAAGGUGACAGUACCACAAGUCUUCGGACAAGUGGAUAAUGACCCUAAACAGGCUUCCAAGAAACAUUCCUAAACUUAUACAAUAACUACCCGUACCGUAAUCCGACACAGGUAGUCGAGGAGAGAAUCCUAAGGUGCUCGAGUGAAUCAUGGCUAAGGAACUCGGCAAAUUAACCCUGUAACUUCGGGAUAAAGGGUGCCCUGCUUAUGCAGGGCCGCAGUGAAAUGGCCCAGGCGACUGUUUAACAAAAACACAUGGCUUUGCUAAAUCGAAAGAUUACGUAUAAGGCCUGACACCUGCCCGGUGCUGGAAGGUUAAGAGGAGAUGUCAGAAGCAAUUCAAAGCAUUGAAUCGAAGCCCCAGUAAACGGCGGCCGUAACUAUAACGGUCCUAAGGUAGCGAAAUUCCUUGUCGGGUAAGUUCCGACCUGCACGAAUGGUGUAACGAUCUGGGCACUGUCUCAGCCAUGAGCUCGGUGAAAUUGUAGUAUCGGUGAAGAUGCCGAUUACCCGCAACGGGACGGAAAGACCCCGUGCACCUUCACUACAACUUUGCAUUGAGUUUGGGUAAUUGAUGUGUAGGAUAGGUGGGAGACUUUGAAGUGGUAGCGCUAGCUAUUAUGGAGUCAACCUUGAAAUACCACCCUUCAAUUAUUUGAAUUCUAAUCCCGAUUAUCGGGAAACAGUGCAUGGUGGGUAGUUUGACUGGGGUGGUCGCCUCCCAAAAUGUAACGGAGGCUUUCAAAGGUACCCUCAGUACGCUUGGUAACCGUACGUAGAGUGCAAUAGCAUAAGGGUGCUUAACUGUGAGACUUACAAGUCGAGCAGAAUCGAAAGAUGGAUAUAGUGAUCCGGUGGUUCCGAAUGGAAGGGCCAUCGCUCAAAGGAUAAAAGGUACGCCGGGGAUAACAGGCUGAUCUCCCCCAAGAGCUCACAUCGA